This is a non-coding RNA of Ceratotherium simum simum (southern white rhinoceros), 91 nucleotides long. The record is from RefSeq and is a predicted model, not a curated record. NCBI's taxonomy places the organism in Eukaryota, Metazoa, Chordata, Mammalia, Perissodactyla, Rhinocerotidae.
UUGCAGGGAUUUUGCUGUUAACUUUAUGUUUAACUUUUUGAGGAACUCACAAAUGUUUUUCCAAAUGACUGCACCAUUUGACAUUCUUACC